Molecule: ribosomal RNA, 497 nt
Filed under: uncultured bacterium
Lineage: Bacteria
Description: partial 16S ribosomal RNA
Rfam family: Bacterial small subunit ribosomal RNA
Source: RNAcentral
GAUGAACGCUGGCGGCGUGCCUAAUACAUGCAAGUCGAGCGAACAGACGAGGAGCUUGCUCCUCUGACGUUAGCGGCGGACGGGUGAGUAACACGUGGAUAACCUACCUAUAAGACUGGGAUAACUUCGGGAAACCGGAGCUAAUACCGGAUAAUAUAUUGAACCGCAUGGUUCAAUAGUGAAAGACGGUUUUGCUGUCACUUAUAGAUGGAUCCGCGCCGCAUUAGCUAGUUGGUAAGGUAACGGCUUACCAAGGCAACGAUGCGUAGCCGACCUGAGAGGGUGAUCGGCCACACUGGAACUGAGACACGGUCCAGACUCCUACGGGAGGCAGCAGUAGGGAAUCUUCCGCAAAGGGCGAAAGCCUGACGGAGCAACGCCGCGUGAGUGAUGAAGGUCUUCGGAUCGUAAAACUCUGUUAUUAAGGAAGAACAAAUGUGUAAGUAACUAUGCACGUCUUGACGGUACCUAAUCAGAAAGCCACGGCUAACUACGUG